UACGAAGGGGGCUAGCGUUGUUCGGAAUUACUGGGCGUAAAGCGCGCGCAGGCGGUCCUUCAAGUCAGAGGUGAAAGCCCAGAGCUCAACUCUGGAACGGCCUUUGAAACUAGAGGACUAGGGUACGGGAGAGGUGAGUGGAAUUCCGAGUGUAGAGGUGAAAUUCGUAGAUAUUCGGAAGAACACCAGUGGCGAAGGCGACUUACUGGACACAUAUUGACGCUGAGGUGCGAAAGCGUGGGAAGCAAACAGG
This 253-nucleotide ribosomal RNA is filed under the name uncultured bacterium. RNAcentral's name for it is "partial 16S ribosomal RNA". It matches the Rfam family "Bacterial small subunit ribosomal RNA", at positions 524 to 776 of the family's 1533-position model. The record is from RNAcentral.